GGUUCCUUGAAUAGAUAAGGAAUCUGACCUGCCCGGUGGGUUUGUCUUAACGGCCGCAGUAUUUUGACUGUGCAAAGGUAGCAUAAUCACUUGCCUUUUAAUUGGAGGCUGGUAUGAAUGGUUUAACAAGAAUAUGACUGUCUCUAGGGAAUUAUAUAGAAAUUAGUUUUAGGGUGAAGAAACCCUAGUAAGAAUAAAAGACGAGAAGACCCUAUCGAGCUUUAUGAAUUAAUUAAUUUUCGUUAAGUGUAUGACACUUAUACUACAUUACUUUUAUAGUAAAAGAAAUAUUUUUAAGAUUUUUGGUUGGGGCAACCAAGGGAUAUUAGAAACUCCCACGCAGAUUAUAUAUUUUUAUUGAAGUUGAGCCGUUUUAAGAAUGAUUUAAGGAAAAAGCUACCGUAGGGAUAACAGCGUAAUUUUCUUUUAGAGUUCCAAUCGAUAAGAAAGUUUGCGACCUCGAUGUUGGAUUAAGGUAUCCUGAAGAUGCAGAAG
Molecule: ribosomal RNA, 495 nt
Filed under: Phosinella clathrata
Lineage: Eukaryota; Metazoa; Mollusca; Gastropoda; Littorinimorpha; Rissoinidae
Description: partial 16S rRNA
Rfam family: Bacterial large subunit ribosomal RNA
Source: RNAcentral